This 159-nucleotide unclassified non-coding RNA is filed under the name soil metagenome. RNAcentral's name for it is "partial internal transcribed spacer 1". The record is from RNAcentral.
CAGAGUUGCAAACUCCCUACCACCAUCGUGAACAUACCCGACAUGUUGCUUCGGCGGGAUCAGCCCGCUCCCGGUAACCGGGGCCGGCCCGACGCCCCGAGGUACCCUAAACUCUUGUUUCUAUAUGUAACUCUCUGAGUAACCUUUACUGAAUAAUCA